UACGGAGGGGGCCAGCGUUGCUCGGAAUCACUGGGCGUAAAGGGCUUGUAGGCGGCCUGGUAAGUCCGGUGUGAAAUCCCUUGGCUUAACCAAGGAAUUGCGCCGGAUACUGUCGGACUAGAGGCCGGGAGAGGGAAGCGGAAUUCCGAGUGUAGCGGUGAAAUACGUAGAUAUUCGGAGGAACACCGGUGGCGAAGGCGGCUUCCUGGACCGGUUCUGACGCUGCAGAGCGAAAGCUAGGGGAGCAAACAGG
Molecule: ribosomal RNA, 253 nt
Filed under: uncultured bacterium
Lineage: Bacteria
Description: partial 16S ribosomal RNA
Rfam family: Bacterial small subunit ribosomal RNA
Source: RNAcentral